RNAcentral lists this ribosomal RNA (1390 nucleotides) under uncultured bacterium. RNAcentral's name for it is "partial 16S ribosomal RNA". It matches the Rfam family "Bacterial small subunit ribosomal RNA", at positions 28 to 1381 of the family's 1533-position model. The record is from RNAcentral.
GACGAACGCUGGUGGCGUGCCUAAUACAUGCAAGUCGAACGAAAGGAACCAGCUUAUUUGCUUCGCUCAAGAGGUUAAGAAAGCAAGCACACGAUGGUAGACUGACACUGGCGGAACCAGCCCCAUAGGCUGGGAUACCAUCUUGCAAACAGGUGCUUAUCCGCGUGAUAGGAAAGGCAGAUGGAAAGAUCAGGUUUUAGAAGGCGGACUCACCUGUCACUAUGGUAUGGCCGCGCGAUGGAUUAACUAAGGGUUAAAGUGGAGGCCUACCAGAGAGAGGAAGCAUAGCCGAUGUGACAGACUGAUCGGCCACAUUGCCGACUGAGACACGGACCAGACUCCUACGGGAGGUGGCAGAAGGAAUCAUCCACAAUGGACGCAAGUCUGAUGAAGCACCUCCGCGUGAGUAAAGAAGGCUUCCGGAUCGAAAAGCUAUGGAGUUGGUGAAGAAAGAAAGAGGCAGUAACUGGCCUUUAUUUGACCGUAAUCAAACAUAAAGUCACAGCUAACUACGUGCCUACAGCCGCGAUAAUACUCAUAUGGCAAGCAUCGUCCCGAUAUAUUGAGCGUGAAGCUAACCCCUGAGCAAGAUUACGACAGAUGUGAAACUCCUCAGCUUAGCCGAGGAACUGCAUCGGAAACUGGUUUUCUUGAGUGCAUUUUAGGAGAGUGGAACUCCAUGUGUAGCGGUGGAAUGCGUAGAUAUAUGGAAGAACACCAGUGGCGAAGGCGGCUCUCUGGUCUGCAACUGACGCUGAGGCUCGAAAGCAUGGGUAGCGAACAGGAUUAGAUACCCUGGUAGUCCAUGCCGUAAACGAUGAGUGCUAAGUGUUGGGAGGUUUCCGCCUCUCAGUGCUGCAGCUAACGCAUUAAGCACUCCGCCUGGGGAGUACGACCGCAAGGUUGAAACUCAAAGGAAUUGACGGGGGCCCGCACAAGCGGUGGAGCAUGUGGUUUAAUUCGAAGCAACGCGAAGAACCUUACCAGGUCUUGACAUCUAGUGCCAUUUGUAGAGAUACAAAGUUCCCUUCGGGGACGCUAAGACAGGUGGUGCAUGGCUGUCGUCAGCUCGUGUCGUGAGAUGUUGGGUUAAGUCCCGCAACGAGCGCAACCCUUGUUAUUAGUUGCCAGCAUUAAGUUGGGCACUCUAAUGAGACUGCCGGUGACAAACCGGAGGAAGGUGGGGAUGACGUCAAGUCAUCAUGCCCCUUAUGACCUGGGCUACACACGUGCUACAAUGGGCAGUACAACGAGAAGCGAGCCUGCGAAGGCAAGCGAAUCUCUGAAAGCUGUUUUCAGUUCGGACUGCAGUCUGCAACUCGACUGCACGAAGCUGGAAUCGCUAGUAAUCGCGGAUCAGCCACGCUGCGGUGAAUACGUUCCCGGGCCU